RNAcentral lists this ribosomal RNA (304 nucleotides) under uncultured bacterium. RNAcentral's name for it is "partial 16S ribosomal RNA". It matches the Rfam family "Bacterial small subunit ribosomal RNA", at positions 509 to 807 of the family's 1533-position model. The record is from RNAcentral.
CAGCAGUCGCCGCGGUAAUACGGAGGGUGCAAGCGUUAAUCGGAAUUACUGGGCGUAAAGCGCACGCAGGCGGUCUGUCAAGUCAGAUGUGAAAUCCCCGGGCUUAACCUGGGAACUGCAUUUGAAACUGGCAGGCUAGAGUCUUGUAGAGGGGGGUAGAAUUCCAGGUGUAGCGGUGAAAUGCGUAGAGAUCUGGAGGAAUACCGGUGGCGAAGGCGGCCCCCUGGACAAAGACUGACGCUCAGGUGCGAAAGCGUGGGGAGCAAACAGGAUUAGAUACCCCGGUAGUCCCUGUCUCUUAUAC